Molecule: long non-coding RNA, 203 nt
Filed under: Populus trichocarpa (black cottonwood)
Lineage: Eukaryota; Viridiplantae; Streptophyta; Magnoliopsida; Malpighiales; Salicaceae
Description: long non-coding RNA (PTRI_LNC001872)
Source: RNAcentral
GAGGAUCAAUUUUUUUGUGAACGUGCAGUUAUUUUGAUUUUUUUUAUUAAAAUAAUUUUUUUUUCAAUUUUUUUUUGUUUAUUUUAGCGCACUCAAGGUUUUUUUACCCUAAUUUUUGUUUUAUUGAAAAAUUAUUUAUGAUUAUUCAUACAAAUUAAAUAUAUAUAUAUUUUAUGCAUAAUUAGAAGAUAAAUAUAUAGUAA